This 3042-nucleotide long non-coding RNA is filed under the name Homo sapiens (human). Its description in RNAcentral is "HSALNT0347523". The record is from RNAcentral. Lineage: Eukaryota; Metazoa; Chordata; Mammalia; Primates; Hominidae.
CAAAAAUUAGCCGUGCGUGGGGGUGGGCACUUGUAAUCCCAGCUACUCAGGAGGCUGAGGCAGGAGAAACACUUGAACCCGGGAGGCAGAGGUUGCAGUGAGCCGAAGAUCAUGCCUCCAGCCUGGGUGACAGAGCGAGACUCCGUCUCAAAAAAAUAAAAAUAAAAACAGAAAUAUGGUACUAAUACGUAGUUCAAUAUGGGCAUUAUUCAGAGGACCCAACAUUAACUUUACAAUGGACUUUACAAGGAACUUGAUAACCUAACUAGUUAACUGAUUCCUGUGGUACCUAAGAAAUUAAUAGAUAGCAGGUAGUAAGGGUGUUUUCUGCCAGGGCUUUGAGGGAGUGAUGAUAAAAGAGGGAUGGUGUUUCUAGUCCUGAAAAUAAAAUAAAAUAAAAUAAAAUACCUACUGCUGCUUCAGUCAGCACUAGGUCUCCUCUAUUUUUGAAAAUGGAGCUCUAAGCUAUGGUCAUUAUGAGGCUUAGUCAGACUCCUCCCAUCAUUUCUUUAUCAUUAAAUCUUCCCUAAGCACCAAGACAAGAUAGCUGGGAUCCCCACAGACAAUGCCCCUGCUCUAAUGGAGUUUCCCUUUUGCAGGGGAGCAUUCACUGGGGCCACAAAAUGACUCUGGUCAAGGCUGACAGAGACCUCUAAUACUUAAGGUGAAAGGAACUCUAUGGAGAUUUACUAUAAUGCAAAAUACUAAAAAGACAUCCAAGAGACCAUUAAAUUGGACUGCUGUCUAGUUUCCAUUAAUGCUAAUAGUUAUACACUGAUAAGUUAGGAAGUAGGUUACUAAAUCUUCACAUGUGAGCCACAUCACAUUUGUUUUGAGCCUAGCACAUAAUAGGAGUUGAAUAUGGCAAAUUAUUUAGUGAAUACAAGAUUCCUUUUGUACAUAUAUUCAUGAAAUUGCAAUAAAGAACCAACUCUGAGAUGUCUUUAAUCAGAAUAUGUAUUAAAAUUAUUCCAAAGUAAAUGUAUUUAACCAAUUCUUGCUAAAUGAUGAUAAAUGUAACAUGUUUUAUAACUUAAGUUAGAACUUAAGAGUCACAAAUACAUAUAUUUAUUUAUUUAUUUCAAAUACAUACAUUUAUUUAUUCUUCACUAGAUUCUCAAAGGGUAGAAAUUAUCAUGUAUAAUUUUCAAGCGAGAAAAUUGAGGCGCUGCUCGAGUACUCUUUCUUAAAUCAUAUUGGCUUGCCAAAAGAAUUUAUUAAUGAAAAGAAAAAUUAAUGUCAAAAAACCGUUAGGUCUCCCUCUCCCUCUCCCCCUCCCCCUCCCCCUCUCCCGUCUCCCCCACGGCCUCCCUCUCCCUCUCUUUCCACGGUCUCCCUCUGAUGCCGAGCCGAAGCUGGACUGUACUGCUGCCAUCUCGGCUCACUGCAACCUCCCUGCCUGAUUCUCCUGCCUCAGCCUGCCAAGUGCCUGCGAUUAUAGGCGCGCGCCACCACGCCUGACUAGUUUUCGUACUUUUUUGGUGGAAACGGGGUUUCGCUGUGUUGGCCAGGCUGGUCUCCAGCUCCUAACCACGAGUGAUCUGCCAGCCUCGGCCUCCCGAGGUGCCGGGAUUGCAGACGGAGUCUCGUUCACUCAGUGCUCAAUGUUGCCCAGGCUGGAAUGCAGUGGCGUGAUCUCGGCUGGCUACAACCUCCACCUCCCAGCCGCCUGCCUUGGCCUCCCAAAGUGCCAAGAUUGCAGCCUCUGCCCGGCCGCCACCCCGUCUGGGAAGUGAGGAGCAUCUCUGCCUGGCCACCCAUCGUCUGGGAUGUGAGGAGCCCCUCUGCCCGGCUGCCCAGUCUGGGAAGUGAGGAGCACCUCUUCCCAGCCGCCAUCCCGUUUAGGAAGUGAGGAGCGUCUCUGCCCGGCUGCCCAUCGUCUGAGAUGUGGGGAGCGCCUCUGCCCCGCCACCCCAUCUGGGAUGUGAGGAGCGCCUCUGCCCGGCCGCAACCCUGUCUGGGAGAAACCCUUAAUCCCAGUCUAAUCAUCAGAAAACAUCAGUCAAAUCCAGACUGGAGGAGGAGGCAUUCUACAGGAUACCUGGCCAGUGCCCAUCUAGACUUUCACAAGAAAAACAACAGAAGACUGGUAAACUGUCCCAGACCCGAGGAGACUGGGAGACAUGACAACUAAAUGCAAUGUGGUACAUCUUGUAUGGGGCCCAUGAACAGAAGGAGAACAUUAGUAGAAAACUGGAGAAAUCCAAAGAGUCUCAAAUUUAGUUCAUAGUAAUGUUCUAAUGUCAGCCUCUGAGUUGUGACAAACAUACCAUGGUAAUAUAAGAUGUUAACAAUAGGGAAAACUGGAUGAAGGGUGUACAGAAACUCUCUGUAUUGUUUGCAACUUUUCUUCGUGAGACAGAGUCUCACUCUGUCACCUAGGCUGGAGUGCAGUGGUGUGAUCUCGGCUCACUGCAACCUCCGCCUCCUGGGUUCACGCCAUUCUCCUGCCUCAGCCUCCUGAGUAGCUGGGACCACAGGGGCGUGCCACCACACCCAGUUAAUUUUUUGUAUUUUUAGUAGAGACGGGGUUUCACUGUGUUAGACAGGAUGGUCUCGAUCUCCUGACCUCGUGAUCCGCCCACCUUGGCCUCCCAAAAGUGCUGGGAUUACAGGCGUGAGCAACUGCACCCAGCCUGCAACUUUUUUAUAAUCAAAAUUACCCCAAAAUAGAAAGUUUAUUUUUAAAAAGAGAAAGAAAGAAAAUGUGGUAGUUACCCACUAUGUUGAUUUUACAACCUACUAAAACAGUGCAAACUGAAGUUUGAAGAACACUGCUUCAUGAAAUUUAUGACUCCUGGCAAAAAUGAUCAGAAAUGUUCGGUAGCCCGUACGUGAUUUUGUUGAAAAAAAGUAUUUCAGAAAGCUACGUUAUUAAUGGAAAAUAUAAAAAACAGUUCUAAAAUGCAACUACUGUCUGUAAUUAUUCCAACCCGGAAAUUUCCAUUCCUACAUGAAUCCCCUUGAGAACUAAAUUUCUACAGCUGAUUUUGUAAAAGACAAAGAAAAGGAAAGUAAGGAGAUUUUAAGUAAGAUGAAUUA